UACGUAGGGUGCAAGCGUUAAUCGGAAUUACUGGGCGUAAAGUGUGCGCAGGCGGUUUUGUAAGUCUGACGUGAAAUCCCCGGGCUCAACCUGGGAAUUGCGUUGGAGACUGCAAGGCUAGAAUCUGGCAGAGGGGGGUAGAAUUCCACGUGUAGCAGUGAAAUGCGUAGAGAUGUGGAGGAACACCGAUGGCGAAGGCAGCCCCCUGGGUCAAGAUUGACGCUCAUGCACGAAAGCGUGGGGAGCAAACAGG
This 253-nucleotide ribosomal RNA is filed under the name uncultured bacterium. Its description in RNAcentral is "partial 16S ribosomal RNA". It matches the Rfam family "Bacterial small subunit ribosomal RNA", at positions 524 to 776 of the family's 1533-position model. The record is from RNAcentral.